Molecule: long non-coding RNA, 1899 nt
Filed under: Marmota monax (woodchuck)
Lineage: Eukaryota; Metazoa; Chordata; Mammalia; Rodentia; Sciuridae
Source: RNAcentral
CGGCUCUGGGGUAUGUAUCUGUAUCUGGUGAGUUGAGUCUCUUCUUCCUGAUGAUGUGAGAUGGUGAGUGGCAUCUCUCUCUGCUUCCUGAUCAUGUGAGAUGCAACCACUCUCUCUUGCCAUGAUGUCCUGCCUCACCUCGACCCCCAAGGAAUGGAGCCUGCUGUCGGUGGACUGAGACCUCUGAAGCCGUGAGCCCCCAGGCAACCUUUCCUCCUCCUUGGUUGUUCUGGUUGGACCCUGCGGUCAGCAGGAAACCCCGACGGACACACAUGCUGGGGAACAGGAAUACCUUAACCCUGAGCAGGCAGCAUGAACAUUAGUGCAAGCCCCGCCCUUCCUCUGCCAAGACCCUCUUCCCAGGGCCGUGCCUGAGUGCUUCGGGCAGACUCCUGCUGCAGCUGACUCCCCAUGUGGGCAGAGAAGUGCUGCCAGCUGCCAUGGCACCACCAACUGUGAGGCGCACACACAGGACCCCGAGGAGAUGGGGGAGGCUGCGCUUUCCCAAGUGUGGACUCACUGUUCUGCCAGUCCCAGUCCUCAGAGGACGACCGUAGGAGGGCAGAUUCCCAGGGGCCCUGGUCGCCCAGUCCCAAAUCCUCACACCUUAAGGAGCACACAGCCUCCUGAGAGGCGGCAGCCACCGAGCUCUGCCCCUCCAGAGGCUCCCAGAUUGUAAGCCCCCAGCUGUGGUGCCACCAAGGGCAUGCACAGACAGGCCCGGGGCCCCCAGGCAGGUCUCUGGGCAUAGGGGGACCUGCCGGCCCUGAGUCCCAGGCUGUGUCCUCUGCUUUGCUGGUGUGUGUGGUGCUGUUUCCCAACCACACCUGGGAGCCUUUGUUGUAUUGCCUUUGGGAGGGUCAGGUCCUUGGUCAGAGCCAAACUGUUGUUGCCUCCCACAGAGGCUAGCUGGGGUCACAUUCUACCAAACCUGUGAAACAAAGUACAUCCUGUCCUGAGGGUCCUGAGGCCACCAGCGCACCGGGAGCAUGCACUUCAGACUGGCUUCCCCAGGCUGUGGUUGCAGAAGAGGACAGCUGCAAGAUGGGCUGUUUCAAGGUGGGGAAAUAGGAGGGAGAAUAAGGAGUGUUCUCAGAGAGUGGGCUCAGGUCAACGGCUUCCCAGUCCACACUGAUCCAGGGCCCUUCCCCGCCCCACUGUAGAGAUGCACUUGGUCUGGAUGUUGUUGCCACUCCUGGGAUGCUAAACUGAGCAUAGCUGGUGAGCACCCCACUCUGUCCCACUGGGCGGAGCACCAGCUGACCUGAGGCGUGGACCCCACCCAGGGGCUAGGGUGAGGGCCAGUGGUUACAUGGAGCCCAGCACGUGUGCUUCCCAGCUAUCCUCAGGCUUGGUGACCUUCCAUGGCCCCAAUUCCUUGACCAAAGUGCAGUAGUGAGCAGGGUUGUCUGAGGAUCAUACAAGGAGGAGAAACCACGUGAGCUCCCAGUGUGGUGCAGGGCCCAGAGUAGCCACCUGCCCUGCUCAGUGCGUCCUGCCUAUGUCUAUGCCCGGUUUCCAGUCUCUGCAGCACCAGGCCUGGCACACGUACAGGGUAAAUAAAUGCAGCAGGGAGGGUUGGGGGUGUGGGUAGAACUAGGUGAUAUAGGCCUUAGAGUAAUGCACCCCAGCACCUGGAUAUGGCCAGAUUAAACAUGACAGUACAAGGCCAGCCCUGGUGCUCUACCAGGAAAAUUACCAGGGCUGCAGCUGGCAUUGGAAUUGCCUAGGGACAUUCUCCAGCAUCUGGUAGGGGCCUGUGUCCCCAGGGCAGUGUCCUCCUUCUCCUGAUGUCAACUUAUACACCAAGUCGUCCAAAGUGUGCACAAACCGAUUCUCACCUGUGCUCAGAAUCUUAAUAAAGAACAUGCCUCUCCAUGCAAUAAAAGUCAUUCCAAC